CCUACGGGUGACAGCAGUCGAGAAUCAUUCACAAUGGGGGAAACCCUGAUGGUGCGACGCCGCGUGGGGGAAUGAAGGUCUUCGGAUUGUAAACCCCUGUCAUGUGGGAGCAAAUUAAAAAGAUAGUACCACAAGAGGAAGAGACGGCCAACUCGGUGCCAGCAGCCGCGGUAAUACAGAGGUCUCAAGCGUUGUUGGGAACCACUGGGCGUAAAGCGUGCGUAGGCUGUUUCGUAAGUUGUGUGUGAAAGGCGCGGGCUCAACCCGCGGGCGGCACAUGAUACUGGGGGACUAGAGUGAGGGAGAGGGAAGCGGAAUUCUCGGUGUAGCAGUGAAAUGCGUAGAUAUCGAGAGGAACACUCGUGGCGAAGGCGGGUUCCUGGACAUUAACUGACGCUGAGGCACGAAGGCCAGGGGAGCGAGAGGGAUUAGAUACCCGAGUAGUC
This 446-nucleotide ribosomal RNA is filed under the name uncultured bacterium. Its description in RNAcentral is "partial 16S ribosomal RNA". It matches the Rfam family "Bacterial small subunit ribosomal RNA", at positions 338 to 795 of the family's 1533-position model. The record is from RNAcentral.